AAUCAACGCUGGCGGCGUGCCUAACACAUGCAAGUCGAGCGGGAAAGGGGGCUUCGGCCCCUGAGUAUAGCGGCGGACGGGUGAGUAACACGUGGGUAAUUUGCCCUUGGGUGUGGAAUAACUCAGGGAAACUUGAGCUAAUACCGCAUGACAUCCCCUUCACGCACGAGUCGGGGAUCAAAGCCGGGGACCUUUCGGGGCCUGGCGCCUGAGGAGAAGCCCGCGCCCGAUUAGCUAGUUGGUGAGGUAAUGGCUCACCAAGGCUACGAUCGGUAGCCGGCCUGAGAGGGGCGGACGGCCACACUGGGACUGAGACACCGGCCCAGACUCCGUACGGGAGGCAGCAGGUGGGGUAAUUUUUGUCAAGUGGGGGAAACCCUGAACAAGCAACGCCGCGUGGAGGACGAA
Molecule: ribosomal RNA, 408 nt
Filed under: uncultured bacterium
Lineage: Bacteria
Description: bacterial SSU rRNA
Rfam family: Bacterial small subunit ribosomal RNA
Source: RNAcentral